Molecule: ribosomal RNA, 376 nt
Filed under: uncultured bacterium
Lineage: Bacteria
Description: bacterial SSU rRNA
Rfam family: Bacterial small subunit ribosomal RNA
Source: RNAcentral
UAAUACAGAGGGUGCGAGCGUUAAUCGGAAUUACUGGGCGUAAAGCGCACGUAGGCGGCUUGGUAUGUCGGGUGUGAAAUCCCCGGGCUCAACCUGGGAACUGCAUCCGAAACUGCCUUGCUCGAGUAUGGGAGAGGGAAGUGGAAUUUCCGGUGUAGCGGUGAAAUGCGUAGAUAUCGGAAGGAACAUCAGUGGCGAAGGCGACUUCCUGGACCAAUACUGACGCUCAGGUGCGAAAGCGUGGGGAGCAAACAGGAUUAGAUACCCUGGUAGUCCACGCCAUAAACGAUGAGGACUAGACGUUGGAGGGGUAAGCCUUUCAGUGUCGUAGCUAACGCGCUAAGUCCUCCGCCUGGGGAGUACGGCCGCAAGGUUG